This 368-nucleotide ribosomal RNA is filed under the name uncultured organism. RNAcentral describes it as "bacterial LSU rRNA". It matches the Rfam family "Bacterial large subunit ribosomal RNA", at positions 2099 to 2465 of the family's 2925-position model. The record is from RNAcentral.
CUUGACUGUAUCCUGGAAUUGGGUUCGGGCUUUUCUUGCGCAGCCUAGGUGGGAGGCUAUGAAGAUUUCCUUCCGGGGAAGUUGGAGCCAUCAGUGAGAGACCACUCUGGAGAGGCUAGAAUCCUAAUGGUGAUCCUUGAAUCAGGACACUUGACAGUUUCAGGUGGGCAGUUUUUCUGGGGCGGAAGCCUCAUAAAGGGUAACUGAGGCGCGCAAAGGUCCCCUCAGUCUGGACGGAAAUCAGACAACGAGUGUAAAGGCAAAAGGGGGCUUGACUGCAAGGCCUACAAGUCGGGCAGGAGCGAAAGCUGGCCUUAGUGGUCCGACGGUACCGUGUGGAAGGGCCGUCGCUCAACGAAUAAAAGUUA